This 380-nucleotide unclassified non-coding RNA is filed under the name uncultured Verrucomicrobiae bacterium. RNAcentral's name for it is "contains 16S-23S intergenic spacer region". Lineage: Bacteria; Pseudomonadati; Verrucomicrobiota; Verrucomicrobiia. The record is from RNAcentral.
UCCGGCUUAUCACCGGCGGUUUCUUUAGAGUGCCCAACUAAAUGAUGGCAACUAAAGACGAGGGUUGCGCUCGUUGCGGGACUUAACCCAACAUCUCACGACACGAGCUGACGACAGCCAUGCACCACCUGUGCAAGUUGUCCCUUUCGGGACUCGCUGGCUUUCACCAACUUAGAAAUGCAUGUCAAGGCCUGGUAAGGUUCUUCGCGUUGCAUCGAAUUAAGCCACAUACUCCACCGCUUGUGCGGGCCCCCGUCAAUUUCUUUGAGUUUUAAUCUUGCGACCGUACUCCCCAGGCGGCACGUUUAACGCGUUAGCUCCGGCGCAGAAGGGGUCGAAUCCUCCCACACCUAGCGCCCAUCGUUUACGGCGUGGACUAC